GUUCGUCUUCAGGGGCAGGGUGUAAUUCCCGACCGGUGGUUAUAGUCCACGACUCGUUUUUAACGAUUGAAUUGGUGUAAUUCCAAUACCGACAGUAUAGUCUGGAUAAAGAAGAUAGGG
Regulatory RNA element from Enterococcus faecalis V583, 120 nucleotides. It matches the Rfam family "FMN riboswitch aptamer (RFN element)". Rfam says of the family: The RFN element is a highly conserved domain that is found frequently in the 5'-untranslated regions of prokaryotic mRNAs that encode for flavin mononucleotide (FMN) biosynthesis and transport proteins. This element is a metabolite-dependent riboswitch that directly binds FMN in the absence of proteins. The record is from Rfam. NCBI's taxonomy places the organism in Bacteria, Bacillati, Bacillota, Bacilli, Lactobacillales, Enterococcaceae.